AUUCCAGCUCCAAUAGCGUAUAUUAAAGUUGUUGCGGUUAAAAAGCUCGUAGUUGGAUUUCUGCCGAGGAUGACCGGUCCGCCCUCUGGGUGAGUAUCUGGCUCAGCCUUGGCAUCUUCCUGAAGAACGUAGCUGCACUUGACUGUGUGGUGCGGUAUUUAGGACAUUUACUUUGAGGAAAUUAGAGUGUUUCAAGCAAGCGCACGCCUUGAAUACAUUAGCAUGGAAUAAUAAGAUAGGACUAUGGUACUAUUUUGUUGGUUUGUGCACCAUGGUAAUGAUUAAUAGGGACAGUUGGGGGUAUUCGUAUUCCAUUGUCAGAGGUGAAAUUCUUGGAUUUAUGGGAGACGAACUACUGCGAAAGCAUUUACCAAGGAUGUUUUCAUUA
Molecule: ribosomal RNA, 388 nt
Filed under: Suessiaceae sp.
Lineage: Eukaryota; Dinophyceae; Suessiales; Suessiaceae
Description: partial small subunit ribosomal RNA
Rfam family: Eukaryotic small subunit ribosomal RNA
Source: RNAcentral